This 2863-nucleotide long non-coding RNA is filed under the name Homo sapiens (human). Its description in RNAcentral is "HSALNT0300028". The record is from RNAcentral. Lineage: Eukaryota; Metazoa; Chordata; Mammalia; Primates; Hominidae.
GAUUGCACCUGGGGCUCCCGUGGCCGGCGCCCAUCGAGCAGCCCAUCCUGGCUGUUCCCUUGUUCAGCUGAUUUUCUUUUUUAUCUUGACAUUUGCUAACCGCUUGGUUUUUAUUUUCCGGGAAGAGAGGAUUAUUGGCAACUGGCACCACCCCCAUGUCUGGAGGAGGGACGUUUCUAGGAUGACCCCCAGAGUGGAGAAAUAGCCGAGUUCAUUCAUCAGGAGGAAGGGGAGUCAUUCCAGCCUUCACUGCCUGUGGACGGCAACAACUUCACUGUGGAAGACGCCAGUAGAGUCUGGACACAGCUGACCGUAAUGUUUAUUCAAUCAAUGACUGGUUGCAUGGGCUUGAUCCACAAUGACUCAGCUUUCAGCCAUCGCAAUUGUGCUAUGCUCAGCUGUCAAGUGUGUUUUAAAUCUCCUACUACAUUUUUUUUAAAGUUUUUCUGCCAUCCUUUGUACUCCUUUUUAAAAACUUAUCCAGGAAGUGGUAUGAAAUCUCCAGUACUUCUCGGCACACACAGAUGCGUCUUUUUCUGUUUAUUGUUUUCCCUCUGAGAGUUGUAGUGUUCAGUUGGUUACACCAAGAGAAGUACUUGGCUGGGACUGUUAAAAAAAGUGUCACAAAGCAGCACCAAGGAGAAAACAACACUGUUUUCUGAAUGUUCGUGCUUGGAAUUUCUUUACUACAGGGAAAAUGAGAUGGGGGAGGGCCCUUCUUAUCUAUUUUCAGACAGACAUCUCACAAAUGCAUAAAAAAUAUAAUCCUUUUAGUUCCACUGGCCUUGUAGUUGUUGUAAAUGCAUCUUAAAUUCCUAAAUGAUUUUUAAAUUACAUUAUGUCUUUCAGCGGUGUAGGCUUUGAUUUCUGAGGCUGUUAGCCAGAUAUAGGCUUUAACAAACACUCAUGUUCUUUUGUCUUUAUGUCUUUAUUUUAAAAUUAUAUAUAUACAUAUAUAUAUGUAUGUAUGUAUGUAUAAGUAUCCAGUGAGUAUAAGAAAAAUAUCAAAGAGAAGAAUUUUUCUCAUUCUGUCUUCAAAUAGGUAAUACUUCACAAAUUGAUGUAUGCUCAUGGACAAUAGCAGGUAAUGCUUUUGAAACUGAAAGAUUUGUCUCUGAGUUCCAACAAUUGUCUUAGCAGACAGAGUUUCAAGGUCAUCAAAUCUGUAUCCAUUGGUGGCAUAGAAGAUGUCAAUCACAUUGCCUUUGAAUCAGAACCUAUCAUUGUCAAUACAGAUAAACUGCAGGUUAACUCUCUCUCUGUCUCGCCCCUGGAAACUAGGCUUAAUGUUUUGCCAAAAAUUGGGUAUUUGCUCUUGACCCUAGAGCAAAGGCUCUCACUUCAACAAAACUUUUCACUACUCUCCAGAAGAGCCAAGCCUCAUACUGAUGAGAAGAAGAGAAGGAAGAGAAAUGGGAAGCCGAUCAUUAAAAUAUUUUCCUGCAAGGGGAAGAAAACAACAAUUCUUAAGUGCCAAUAUGAGACAGGCACUAUACUGAGCACUUUGGAUGUGGUAUCUGUUUACAUUUAUUUGAAUAAUAAUCAGCAUAUAGAAAUUCAACAUAGAUUCUGCACCAUUUCUUUCAGUCCUUCUGGAUGGUUUUUCAUUUGUAUUUGUAAUAACUUGAAAGUUACUUAAUCUCUCAUUAAGUUGCUGAGGUAUGCUUUUUAACAUAAUAUUUGCAUAGGCCAUGAACCAGAAUGAAUAAAAGGAAAAUCCCAAGAUCUAGAACAUUGUUUUAGAAUUGAUGCCUACCCAACACUUUGUCCUGAGUUUACUUAGCAUAUAGAAAGGAGUUACAUACACAAUGAACAUUCGAGGACUGAAUUUUAGUUGAAGUAACUGAGAUGAGUAAACAAAAAAUGCCAGAAGCUCACUGCCUCCUCCACCCCCACCACACCUGAUGCAGUCCAGAGGCAAAUUUCUUUGUUAAUCCACUUAUUUGUGUUAUUUUUAUGUAUUUAUACUUAUAGUACGUAGCAUAUCUAAGCUCAUGUCUGUCUUAGGAAUUGGAAUUUUAGCAGGCAGAGAGAUCAUCACCUUAACUCUGUGGUGUUCAAUCUUUUAGCUUCCCUGGGCCACAUCACAAGAAGAAAAAUUGUCUUGGGCCAUACAUAAAAUACACCAACACUAAUGAUAGCUGAUGAGCUAAAAAAAAAAAAACCUGUCAAAAAUAUCAUAAUUUUUUUCAUUGCUUGAGCAAUUUUUUUAUUAUUAUUAUACUUUAAGUUCUAGGGUACAUGUGCACAACGUGCAGGUUUGUUACAUAUGUAUACAUGUGCCAUGUUGGUGUGCUGCACCCAUUAACUUGUCAUUUACAUUAGGUAUAUCUCCUAAUGCUAUCCCUCCCCUCUCCACCCACCCCACGACAGGCCCCAGUGUGUGAUGUUCCCAAAAAUAUCAUAAUGGUUUAGGAAAGUUUACGAAUUUGUGCUGGGCUGCAUUCAAAGCCAUCCUGGGUUGCAUGUGGUCUGCAGGCCCCAGGUUGGACAAGCUUGCCUUAAAUGAAGUUUACAAAUAGUUACAAUUAUGUUUAGUGCUACAGAUUAGAAGUAUAUGCUAAUAUGUAAUUGAUAUGGUUUGGCUGUGUUCCCACCCACAUCUCACUUUGAAUUAUAAUAAUCCUCACAUGUCAAGGGUGGGGCCAGGUGGAGAUAAUUGAAUCAUGGAGGCAGUUUACCCCAUACUACUCCCGUGGUUGUGAAUAAGUCUCAUGAGAUCUGAUGGUUUUAUAAAUGACAGUUUCCCUGCACAAGCUCUCUUGCCUGCCGCCAUGUAAGAUAGGACUUUGCUCCUCAUUCAUCUUCAGCCAUGAUUGUGAGGCCUCCCCAGCCAUGUGAAACUGUGAGUCAAUUAAACCUC